GAUGAACGCUGGCGGCGUGCCUAAUACAUGCAAGUCGAGCGAACAGACGAGGAGCUUGCUCCUCUGACGUUAGCGGCGGACGGGUGAGUAACACGUGGAUAACCUACCUAUAAGACUGGGAUAACUUCGGGAAACCGGAGCUAAUACCGGAUAAUAUAUUGAACCGCAUGGUUCAAUAGUGAAAGACGGUUUUGCUGUCACUUAUAGAUGGAUCCGCGCCGCAUUAGCUAGUUGGUAAGGUAACGGCUUACCAAGGCAACGAUGCGUAGCCGACCUGAGAGGGUGAUCGGCCACACUGGAACUGAGACACGGUCCAGACUCCUACGAGGCAGCAGUAGGGAAUCUUCCGCAAUGGGCGAAAGCCUGACGGAGCAACGCCGCGUGAGUGAUGAAGGUCUUCGGAUCGUAAAACUCUGUUAUUAGGGAAGAACAAAUGUGUAAGUAACUAUGCACGUCUUGACGGUACCUAAUCAGAAAGCCACGGCUAACUACGUG
Molecule: ribosomal RNA, 495 nt
Filed under: uncultured bacterium
Lineage: Bacteria
Description: partial 16S ribosomal RNA
Rfam family: Bacterial small subunit ribosomal RNA
Source: RNAcentral